GGGCCCGUAGUUCAUCGGUUAGAACAAUUGUCUUAUAAACAAUAGGUAGAAGGUUCGACUCCUUCCGGGCCCA
Molecule: transfer RNA, 73 nt
Filed under: Candidatus Nealsoniibacteriota bacterium
Lineage: Bacteria; Candidatus Nealsoniibacteriota
Description: Candidatus Nealsonbacteria bacterium tRNA-Ile
Rfam family: tRNA
About the family: Transfer RNA (tRNA) molecules are approximately 80 nucleotides in length. Their secondary structure includes four short double-helical elements and three loops (D, anti-codon, and T loops). Further hydrogen bonds mediate the characteristic L-shaped molecular structure. tRNAs have two regions of fundamental functional importance: the anti-codon, which is responsible for specific mRNA codon recognition, and the 3' end, to which the tRNAs corresponding amino acid is attached (by aminoacyl-tRNA synthetases). tRNAs cope with the degeneracy of the genetic code in two manners: having more than one tRNA (with a specific anti-codon) for a particular amino acid; and 'wobble' base-pairing, i.e. permitting non-standard base-pairing at the 3rd anti-codon position.
Source: RNAcentral